GGUCCUUGUGCUGCUCUGAGUCCUGGGAAAGACUGGCGACGACCUGCGUUCCUCAGAAGAGGGAUGCUAAGGACCCUGAGCGCAGCCUGAGGACGGGCACAGCGGCAGGUGAAACGGAUUCGGGGACGUGGACACGUGGCGCUCGCUCUCCCUGGGGCACUGGGAUGCGGAGGCAAGUAGCAGAAAUAUAUGAGGCCUUGUGGGAGGUUGGCUGUCCCAGGAGCCCCGGAAAACACUGAGAUGUCCUUCCAAACAGGGACACAAACAGCUGAAGAGCUCCAGUUACUUAAGAAGCUGGACUGACAGACAUGGCAUCUGCUGACCCUGUGCUUUGGGAGCCACUGUAUUUUGAGGGCUUUUUGUCCACCAUCUACAGUUACCAGGACUAAAAAUACCUUGGAGGGUAAAGAAUCUUGCACGGGGCUUUGCAGCCUGGACUGUAUUUCUCACAUUUUGGUAUCAUAUGUCAAGGUAAUAGCCUUGUUACUGUGUUAAGCUGCAUAUUAUCUGCUCGGCCAAUGUUUCAUGUUAUCGUUGAUAAGAAGCCAAUUUGGGGGCUGAAACUCAUGAUUACAUCACCUUUUCCCUGCCAGUGUACCCAAUAACCACGUUGCCUGGGAUUCUCCUGAUAACACUCAGCCUCAAUAUACAGAACUAGCCACCUCCCCUGUGCAGAUGCCAGUGUUUCAUUUUACUCCUGCAAAUGGAGCUUCCAUCCCUGUGUCUCAGCCACAGUCCUACAUGUUACCUCCAUCUCCCACCCCUGGUAGUAUAAUUAGUGAAGCCCAAGGCCAGAGAACAGAGAUGGAUCUGUGUUGCACAGAUGCUGGUGUUUUUCUUUAAAAAGAAUGGAAUGUGCUGCUGCAGGUUCAAACUGAGCUGUGGGUAUGUUUCUAAGUCUUUGUAGCCACUGAUUUGAUGAGCUAUGUGAGCAUCACUGAGAGUGACUCACGUGCCAAUCAGUGGGCAGUUCCCUAUUUUAGGCAGGAAUGUAUGACGCCCCACCAUGGGCUGCCCCCUGUAUUUUAGUGAGUGUGCUUAAUAAGAGGAAGCUACUCUAAUGUUAGAGUAACUCCAAGGACUUGCUCUCACAUUAAGGAAGCUCUUCCUUAAGAUUAAUUUAUGGUUUUUCUCCUACACUUUUAGUUUCAUUCAGCAAUUUUCAACCUUUUUCAUCUCAGGGCGCACAUAAACUACUAAAAUUCUCCCCCUGAGUCCUUGGCUUAUUAUAUUUUUUUGCAGAUCUAACAAAAAAAAGGGGGGGUAUAAUUUUGAUUCAUUCACACCAGAUGGCUAUAGUUGUGUUGGCUGUUGUCAUUUUUUUACUUGACAAUCUAAGGGAAAAGAGGUCAGUAUUUAGUUGGCCCCUAACUAAAUAGUCAGUAUUGCAUUGUUUUCAAAAUUGUUGCAGCAUACCAGUUGAAAACUGCUGUUCUAAUUGAACCAAGGGCAAGUGAGUGUGUGUGUGUGUGUGUGUGUGCACGCGCGCGCGCCUGUGUGUAUACUUGCACACAAAUAAAACAUUUAUGGAAGGUUAUACAAGAAACUGGAAACUGAUUUCUUUAGGGAAGGAAACUAAUUAACUGGGGUAGAA
This is a long non-coding RNA of Myotis daubentonii (Daubenton's bat), 1594 nucleotides long. RefSeq lists it as uncharacterized. The record is from RefSeq and is a predicted model, not a curated record. Lineage: Eukaryota; Metazoa; Chordata; Mammalia; Chiroptera; Vespertilionidae.